Molecule: ribosomal RNA, 739 nt
Filed under: marine alpha proteobacterium RS.Sph.021
Lineage: Bacteria; Pseudomonadati; Pseudomonadota; Alphaproteobacteria
Description: bacterial SSU rRNA
Rfam family: Bacterial small subunit ribosomal RNA
Source: RNAcentral
AAACGAACGCUGGCGGCAGGCUACACAUGCAAGUCGAACGAACUCUUCGGAGUUAGUGGCGCACGGGUGAGUAACGCGUGGGAAUGUGCCCCUUAGUACGGAACAACAGUUGGAAACGACUGCUAAUACCGUAUAAUAUCUACGGAUCAAAGAUUUAUCGCUAAGGGAUCAGCCCGCGUCUGAUUAGGUAGUUGGUGAGGUAAGAGCUCACCAAGCCGACGAUCAGUAGAUGGUUUGAGAGGAUGAUCAUCCACACUGGUACUGAGACACGGACCAGACUCCUACGGGAGGCAGCAGUGAGGAAUAUUAGACAAUGGGCGCAAGCCUGAUCUAGCCAUGCCGCGUGAGUGAAGAAGGCCUUCGGGUUGUAAAGCUCUUUCAGAUGUGAGGAUAAUGACAGUAACAUCAGAAGAAGCCCCGGCUAAAUUCGUGCCAGCAGCCGCGGUAAUACGAAUGGGGCAAGCGUUGUUUGGAAUCACUGGGCGUAAAGCGUACGUAGGCGGUUUUUCAAGUCAGGAGUGAAAUCCCAGGGGCUCAACCCUGGAACUGCUCUUGAAACUGGAUCACUAGAGUCCCGGAGAGGUUGGCGGAAUUCCGAGUGUAGACGGUGAAAUUCGCAGAUAUUCGGAGGAACACCAGUGGCGAAGGCGGCCAACUGGACGGGAACUGACGCUCAGGUACGAAAGCGUGGGGAGCAAACAGGAUUAGAUACCCUGGUAGUCCACGCCGUAAACGAUGU